Molecule: unclassified non-coding RNA, 389 nt
Filed under: fungal sp.
Lineage: Eukaryota; Fungi
Description: partial internal transcribed spacer region
Rfam family: Eukaryotic small subunit ribosomal RNA (bases 1-46)
Source: RNAcentral
AAGUCGUAACAAGGUUUCCGUAGGUGAACCUGCGGAAGGAUCAUUAACACGUAUCCAAACGUUAAACCCCCCCCGUGAACCUUCAUCGUGCUCUAGUGGGCCACUGAUAAACACAGCAAUUCCUGGUAAAUCAUUGUCUGAACAAGCCUUUGAGUCAGGAACCUCUGUGCAGUGCGAGCUACACCCACUAUAGAAGCGCUAGUUCCAUCGGCAUUGUUUCCCCAAGCAGCCAGUGCGUGAAAGUGGCAACUGACUGUGCAAGGAUAACGCUUAACGAUUUUGCAGCCGCAACACGCGGGCAGAGCUUUGCCAAAGGGUCCCCAAGCUCCAUUUUCAAUUAUGGAUGGGGUAAAACCGAACAACUGUUAACAAUGGAUAUCUUGGUUCUC